AGAGCCCAGUUAAGGGAGAGUUUAUCAGGAACCAGGCACAGGGACAGGAGUACACACCAUGAUUUCACACAUCGAGCUGAUCUGGCCCCUGGCAUUCUGUAUCACAGGUAUCAGUGGGGACAUCAUCAUGAACCAGUCUCCCCCGGUGCUAUCAGUGGGACUGGGCCACACUGCAACCAUCACCUGUACGGCCAGUCAAAGCAUUAGCAGCUACCUUGCUUGGUACCAGCAGCGAGAAGGUCAGAAACCCUCUCUCCUGAUCUAUGCUGCAACAAAUCGAUUUACAGGAGUCUCCGAUCGAUUCACCGGCAGUGGAUCAGGGACCAGUUUCACCCUGACAAUCAGCAACGUUCAGAAUGAGGAUGUCGCUGACUAUUACUAUAUGCAGGAUUACAGCUACCCUCGACAUUCGGUAAAGGAAUCAAGCUCAGACUGA
Chiloscyllium plagiosum (whitespotted bambooshark) is the source of this 436-nucleotide non-coding RNA. The record is from the annotation of a RefSeq genome assembly. Lineage: Eukaryota; Metazoa; Chordata; Chondrichthyes; Orectolobiformes; Hemiscylliidae.